RNAcentral lists this ribosomal RNA (1452 nucleotides) under uncultured organism. RNAcentral describes it as "bacterial SSU rRNA". It matches the Rfam family "Bacterial small subunit ribosomal RNA". The record is from RNAcentral.
UUGAUCCUGGCUCAGAACGAACGCUGGCGGCGUGGUUGAUACAUGCAAGUCGGACGGGAACGUCCCCUUCGGGGGACUAGUACAGUGGCGGACGGGUGAGUAACGCGUGAUCAAUCUACCCUCAGGAGGGGGAUAGCCACUCGAAAGAGUGGGUAAUACCCCAUAAGACCACAGUCUCUCAUGAGACAGAGGUAAAACAGUUGGGAUCUUCGGACCUUCUGCCUGAGGAUGAGAUCGCGUCCUAUUAGCUUGUUGGUAGGGUAAUGGCCUACCAAGGCUUUGAUGGGUAGCCGGCCUGAGAGGGUGGACGGCCACACUGGAACUGAGACACGGUCCAGACUCCUACGGGAGGCAGCAGUGCUGAAUUAUUCGCCAAUGCGCGAAAGCGUGACGGUGCGACGCCGCGUGCGGGACGAAGGCUUUCGAGUCGUAAACCGCUGUCAGGGUCUAGGAAACCGCAGUCGUUAAUAGCGGCUGUGCUGACCAGGCCCAAAGGAAGCACAGGCUAAUCUCGUGCCAGCAGCCGCGGUAAUACGAGAUGUGCAAGCGUUGUUCGGAAUCACUGGGCAUAAAGGGUGCGCAGGCGGCUUAGUAAGUCAGGGGUGAAAUCCCUCGGCUCAACCGGGGAAUUGCUUUUGAUACUGCUAAGCUUGAGAGCGAAAGGGGCAAGUGGAAUUCCAGGUGUAGCGGUGGAAUGCGUAGAUAUCUGGGAGAACGCCGAUGGCGAAGGCAGCUUGCUGGGUCGCUUCUGACGCUCAGGCACGAAAGCUAGGGGAGCAAACAGGAUUAGAUACCCUGGUAGUCCUAGCUGUAAACGUUGGGUACUAGGUUCCGGGAUUUCUGAUGAUUUCGGGGCCGCAGUUAAUGCAUUAAGUACCCCGCCUGGGGAGUAUGGUCGCAAGGCUAAAACUCAAAGGAAUUGACGGGGGCUCACACAAGCGGUGGAGCAUGUUGUUCAAUUCGAAGCAACGCGAAGAACCUUACCUGGCCUUGACAUGCUAGAAGUACGAACCUGAAAGGGGGAGGACCGGUAUCCAGUCCGGAACUAGCACAGGUGCUGCAUGGCUGUCGUCAGCUCGUGUCGUGAGACGUUGGGUUAAGUCCCGUAACGAGCGAAACCCUUGUCGUCUGUUGCUACCAGGUAAUGCUGGGCACUCUGGCGAGACUGCCGGUGUUAAACCGGAGGAAGGUGGGGACGACGUCAAGUCAUCAUGGUCCUUACGGCCAGGGCUACAAACGUGCUACAAUGGCAGGUACAGAGAGAAGCGAUACCGCGAGGUGGAGCAAAUCUUCAAAACCUGCCCCAGUUCGGAUUGGAGGCUGCAAUUCGCCUCCAUGAAGUUGGAAUCGCUAGUAAUCGCGGAUCAGCAACGCCGCGGUGAAUACGUUCCUGAGCAUUGUACACACCGCCCGUCAAGCCACCCAAGCUGGAAGCACCCGAAGUCCGGCGCC